GACCCACUAGCUCAGUCGGCAGAGCACCUGCCUUUUAAGCAGGUUGUCCGCGGUUCGAAUCCGCGGUGGGUCACCA
This 76-nucleotide transfer RNA is filed under the name Oscillospiraceae bacterium. RNAcentral describes it as "tRNA-Lys". It matches the Rfam family "tRNA". Rfam says of the family: Transfer RNA (tRNA) molecules are approximately 80 nucleotides in length. Their secondary structure includes four short double-helical elements and three loops (D, anti-codon, and T loops). Further hydrogen bonds mediate the characteristic L-shaped molecular structure. tRNAs have two regions of fundamental functional importance: the anti-codon, which is responsible for specific mRNA codon recognition, and the 3' end, to which the tRNAs corresponding amino acid is attached (by aminoacyl-tRNA synthetases). tRNAs cope with the degeneracy of the genetic code in two manners: having more than one tRNA (with a specific anti-codon) for a particular amino acid; and 'wobble' base-pairing, i.e. permitting non-standard base-pairing at the 3rd anti-codon position. Lineage: Bacteria; Bacillati; Bacillota; Clostridia; Eubacteriales; Oscillospiraceae. The record is from RNAcentral.